GCGGAAGGAUCAUUAUUGAAUAAACUUGAAGGCUGUUGCUGGCUCUUAGGAGUAAUGUGCACGUCUUCAUAUUUGUUUUCUUCCACCUGUGCACUAUUUGUAGACUUGGAUAAAAAAAAAAACUCUCGAGGCAACUCGGCUUGAAGAGUUGCUGCGUGCGCAAGUGCCAGCUCUCUUUGUCUUUUUCCAGUCUAUGUUUUUACAUUUUAUACCCCUAUAGUCUGUUAACAGAAUGUAAUCAAUGGGCUUUAUUGCCUAUAAAACAAAAUACAACUUUCAGCAACGGAUCUCUUGGCUCUCGCAUCGAUGAAGAACGCAGCGAAAUGCGAUAAGUAAUGUGAAUUGCAGAAUUCAGUGAAUCAUCGAAUCUUUGAACGCACCUUGCGCUCCUUGGUAUUCCGAGGAGCAUGCCUGUUUGAGUGUCAUUAAAUUCUCAACCUCUAUAGUUUUUUUAAAACUAGUAGAGUGCUUGGAUGUGGGAUCUGCUGGCUUUUCACAAGGUCAGCUCUCCUUAAAUGCAUUAGCGGAACCUUUGUGGACCGUCAAAUGGUGUGAUAAUUAUCUACGCUAUUGAUGUUAAGCAUUACUUUGGUAAAAAAAAGGAGGUUCAGCUUCUAAUCGUCUACU
RNAcentral lists this ribosomal RNA (627 nucleotides) under Cystoderma subvinaceum. RNAcentral's name for it is "eukaryotic LSU rRNA". The stretch from base 272 to 425 matches the Rfam family "5.8S ribosomal RNA". The record is from RNAcentral. Lineage: Eukaryota; Fungi; Basidiomycota; Agaricomycetes; Agaricales; Squamanitaceae.